This 746-nucleotide ribosomal RNA is filed under the name Gammarus lacustris. RNAcentral describes it as "bacterial SSU rRNA". It matches the Rfam family "Eukaryotic small subunit ribosomal RNA", at positions 7 to 670 of the family's 1831-position model. The record is from RNAcentral. Lineage: Eukaryota; Metazoa; Arthropoda; Malacostraca; Amphipoda; Gammaridae.
GUUGAUCCUGCCAGUAGUCAUAUGCUUGUCUCAAAGAUUAAGCCAUGCAUGUCUAAGUCCAAGCUGUGUUCACACGGCGAGACCGCGGACGGCUCAUUAAAUCAGUCGUGGUCCAAAUGGGCCAGUGCAAAUCCUACUUGGAUAACUGUGGUAAUUCCAGAGCUAAUACAUGCAACUUAUAUCCCGAAGGCGAUGGUUGUGCUUGCUUGUCUUGCGCUCUCACUGCUCUGACGGAUGCUUUUAUUAGACCAAACCGCUGAGGACUUGGGGGUUCGCUCUCUUGUCUGACUCGUUAUAUGGUGACUCUGGAUAACCAAAUUAUGACAAGCGCACGUACUUCUCUUCUGAGCGAGACGGCGCUGCCACUUUCGAGUGUCUGCCUUAUCAGCUAUCAACCGUUCGUUAUGCGCGACCGAUGGCUUUGACGGGUAACGGGGAAUCAGGGUUCGAUUCCGGAGAGGCAGCCUGAGAGACGGCUACCACGUCCAAGGACGGCAGCAGGCACGCAAAUUACCCAAUCCCAGCAAAUGGGGGAGGUAGUGACGAAAUCUAACGAUGCGGGCGCCCUUUCUGGGGCCCCGCAAUCGGAAUGGGCACUUUCUAAACAACCUGUUGAGAACCUACUGAAGGGCAAGUCUGGUGCCAGCAGCCGCGGUAAUUCCAGCUUCAGCAGCAUCUAUUAAAGUUGCUGCGGUUAAAAGGCUCGCAGUUGAAUGUCUGUAUCGAGCGCAGGUCAGGUGGACGUU